RNAcentral lists this transfer RNA (74 nucleotides) under Esox lucius (northern pike). It matches the Rfam family "tRNA". From Rfam's summary of the family: Transfer RNA (tRNA) molecules are approximately 80 nucleotides in length. Their secondary structure includes four short double-helical elements and three loops (D, anti-codon, and T loops). Further hydrogen bonds mediate the characteristic L-shaped molecular structure. tRNAs have two regions of fundamental functional importance: the anti-codon, which is responsible for specific mRNA codon recognition, and the 3' end, to which the tRNAs corresponding amino acid is attached (by aminoacyl-tRNA synthetases). tRNAs cope with the degeneracy of the genetic code in two manners: having more than one tRNA (with a specific anti-codon) for a particular amino acid; and 'wobble' base-pairing, i.e. permitting non-standard base-pairing at the 3rd anti-codon position. RNAcentral also lists the same sequence under 1 other name. The record is from Rfam by way of RNAcentral. Lineage: Eukaryota; Metazoa; Chordata; Actinopteri; Esociformes; Esocidae.
GGCGCUAUGGCUUAGUUGGUUAAAGCGCCUGUCUAGUAAACAGGAGAUCCUGAGUUCGAAUCUCAGUAGUGCCU